GCAAGGUCACUUUCCCUUCGGGGCAUUGGAGACAGGUGGUGCAUGGUUGUCGUCAGCUCGUGUCGUGAGAUGUUGGGUUAAGUCCCGCAACGAGCGCAACCCCUAUUUCCAGUAGCCAGCAAGAAAGAUGGGAACUCUGGAGGGACUGCCCGGGAUAACUGGGAGGAAGGCGGGGAUGACGUCAAAUCAUCAUGCCCCUUAUGAUCAGGGCUACACACGUGCUACAAUGGCGUAAACAAAGGGAAGCGAAGUGGUGACACGAAGCAAAUCCGAAAAACAACGUCUCAGUUCGGAUUGUAGUCUGCAACUCGACUACAUGAAGCUGGAAUCGCUAGUAAUCGCGAAUCAGAAUGUCGCGGUGAAUACGUUCCCGGGUCUUGUACACACCGCCCGUCACACCAUGGGAGUCGGAAAUGCCCGAAGUCAGUGACCCAACCGAGAGGAGGGAGCUGCCGAAGGUGGAGCCGGUAACUGGGGUGAAGUCGUAACAAGGUAGCCGUAUCGGAAGGUGC
Molecule: ribosomal RNA, 512 nt
Filed under: uncultured bacterium
Lineage: Bacteria
Description: bacterial SSU rRNA
Rfam family: Bacterial small subunit ribosomal RNA
Source: RNAcentral